GUCCACGCUGUAAACGAUGCACACUAGGUGCUGGGCGGACGCCUCAGUGCCGGAGCUAACGUGGUAAGUGUGCCGCCUGGGGAGUAUGCUCGCAAGGGUGAAACUCAAAGGAAUUGACGGGGCCCGCACAAGCGGUGGAGCAUGUGGUUUAAUUCGAUGGUACGCGAGGAACCUUACCUGGGCUUGACAUAUGGUGGAAUACGGCAGAGAUGUCGUAGACCCGCAAGGGACUGCUAUACAGGUGCUGCAUGGCUGUCGU
This 259-nucleotide ribosomal RNA is filed under the name uncultured bacterium. RNAcentral's name for it is "partial 16S ribosomal RNA". It matches the Rfam family "Bacterial small subunit ribosomal RNA", at positions 793 to 1055 of the family's 1533-position model. The record is from RNAcentral.